RNAcentral lists this ribosomal RNA (843 nucleotides) under Aedes albopictus (Asian tiger mosquito). RNAcentral describes it as "partial 16S ribosomal RNA". Lineage: Eukaryota; Metazoa; Arthropoda; Insecta; Diptera; Culicidae. The record is from RNAcentral.
UAAAUUUUAUUUAUUAAUUUUAUUUAUUUAAGUAUUAUAUUUAAUAAAAAUAAUUUUAAUUCAAUAUAGUUUUAGUAUUUUUUAAAGAAAUAAUAAUUUUAAUAAUAGUUUAUUUGUAUUGUAAAAGAAGAUUGAAAUAAUUUGAAAAAUUUUURUUUUAAAAGAAAAUUUAAUUUAUUGUACCUUGUGUAUCAGGGUUUAUUAAUUAAUUAAUUAUUAUAGUAAUUUUUCUCGAAUUUUAAAGAUUUAAUUAUAUAUAAAAGUUAUUGUGGAAUAAUUAUUUUUAAUAUAUAAUUAGAAAUGAAAUGUUAAUCGUUUUAAAAUAUAUCUAGUUUUUUAAGAAAUAAAUUUAAUUUAGAUUUAUAAAUUAAAAGUAUUAUUUAUUUAAUAUUUUUAAUUUAUAAAAUUAAUAUUUUAAGGGAUUAGCUUUAAAAUAAAUUUUUAAAUUUUAAAAAAGUAUUUAAUAAAUGUAAGCUUAAAAAUAGUUAUCAUUAAUAAAUUUGUUAUAAUUUAUUUUAAAUUUUUUAUUAUUUAUUAUAAAAUUAAAUUAUUUAUUAAAAUAUAAAUUUUAAUAUUAAUGAUUUAUAAAUUAUGGUAAAAUUAGUAUAUUUAAUUUAUAUAAAUUAUUUAAAUUGAGAGGUUUAAAUAAGGAAUUCGGCAAAUUAUAUAUUCACCUGUUUAUCAAAAACAUGUCUUUUUGUAUUUAAUUUAAAGUCUAACCUGCCCACUGAUAGAUAUUAAAGGGCCGCAGUAUUUUGACUGUGCGAAGGUAGCAUAAUCAGUAGUCUUUUAAUUGAAGGCUUGUAUGAAUGGUUGAAUGAGAUAUAUACUGUCUUUUUUAAA